AUUGAACGCUGGCGGCAGGCCUAACACAUGCAAGUCGAGCGGCAGCGGGAAAGUAGCUUGCUACUUUUGCCGGCGAGCGGCGGACGGGUGAGUAAUGCCUGGGAAAUUGCCCAGUCGAGGGGGAUAACAGUUGGAAACGACUGCUAAUACCGCAUACGCCCUACGGGGGAAAGCAGGGGACCUUCGGGCCUUGCGCGAUUGGAUAUGCCCAGGUGGGAUUAGCUAGUUGGUGAGGUAAUGGCUCACCAAGGCGACGAUCCCUAGCUGGUCUGAGAGGAUGAUCAGCCACACUUGAACUGAGCCACGGUCCAGACUCCUACGGGAGGCAGCAGUGGGGAAUAUUGCACAAUGGGGGAAACCCUGAUGCUGCCAUGCCGCGUGUGUGAAGAAGGCCUUCGGGUUGUAAAGCACUUUCAGCGAGGAGGAAAGGUUGAUGCCUAAUACGUAUCAACUGUGACGUUACUCGCAGAAGAAGCACCGGCUAACUCCGUGCCAGCCGCCGCGGUAA
RNAcentral lists this ribosomal RNA (508 nucleotides) under uncultured bacterium. RNAcentral's name for it is "partial 16S ribosomal RNA". It matches the Rfam family "Bacterial small subunit ribosomal RNA", at positions 30 to 523 of the family's 1533-position model. The record is from RNAcentral.